This 382-nucleotide long non-coding RNA is filed under the name Olea europaea (common olive). RNAcentral's name for it is "long non-coding RNA (OEUR_LNC010084)". Lineage: Eukaryota; Viridiplantae; Streptophyta; Magnoliopsida; Lamiales; Oleaceae. The record is from RNAcentral.
AACACAAUUUAAGGACGAGAUGAUGUGAAAAUACUUCCCACAAGCUCUGAGAGAUCGAAAAGAGACAUAAUUUCACUAUGGUGUGGCUGAAUGUAGAGCAAUCCGCCCUCACAGUCCUUCAACUUAAAUAGGGAAAGAUGCAGUUUGAAGAUUAUGAGAGAAAGUUUGAACAACUCUUUAGGUACGCAUCAUGCCUAGUGGACAGAGCAGCAAAGAAAGCAAGGAAGUUCGAGUUAGGAUUGCGCCUUGAGAUUGGUGGAAUAAUGGCAUCCCAUCAAUUUACCACAUAUAGCCGACUAUUGUAGACUGCCCAAGCAAUCUCAAAUAGAUUGGAAAUUGACCAAACUCCUCAACAAGGGGUUGAGCCUUCAGGAAAGAGGAA